CAGAGGAAGUUUUCGGAUGGAAUCGGCGUAACUUAGUGGCGGACGGGUGAGUAACGCGUGGGAAACCUGCCCUGUACCGGGGGAUAACACUUAGAAAUAGGUGCUAAUACCGCAUAAGCGCACAGCUUCACAUGAGGCAGUGUGAAAAACUCCGGUGGUACAGGAUGGUCCCGCGUCUGAUUAGCCAGUUGGCAGGGUAAUGGCCUACCAAAGCGACGAUCAGUAGCCGGCCUGAGAGGGUGAACGGCCACAUUGGGACUGAGACACGGCCCAAACUCCUACGGGAGGCAGCAGUGGGGAAUAUUGCACAAUGGGGGAAACCCCUGAUGCAGCGACGCCGCGUGAGUGAAGAAGUAUUUCGGUAUGUAAAGCUCUAUCAGCAGGGAAGAAAAUGACGGUACCUGACUAAGAAGCCCCGGCUAACUACGUGCCAGCAGCCGCGGUAAUACGUAGGGGGCAAGCGUUAUCCGGAUUUACUGGGUGUAAAGGGAGCGUAGACGGCAUGACAAGCCAGAUGUGAAAACCCAGGGCUCAACCCUGGGACUGCAUUUGGAACUGCCAGGCUGGAGUGCAGGAGAGGUAAGCGGAAUUCCUAGUGUAGCGGUGAAAUGCGUAGAUAUUAGGAGGACACCAGUGGCGAAGGCGGCUUACUGGACUGUAACUGACGUUGAGGC
Molecule: ribosomal RNA, 674 nt
Filed under: uncultured Lachnospiraceae bacterium
Lineage: Bacteria; Bacillati; Bacillota; Clostridia; Lachnospirales; Lachnospiraceae
Description: bacterial SSU rRNA
Rfam family: Bacterial small subunit ribosomal RNA
Source: RNAcentral